Molecule: ribosomal RNA, 633 nt
Filed under: Triticum aestivum (bread wheat)
Lineage: Eukaryota; Viridiplantae; Streptophyta; Magnoliopsida; Poales; Poaceae
Description: partial small subunit ribosomal RNA
Source: RNAcentral
AUGGUGGACACAGUGAGCCUGGUGGGCAUGAUCCUAACGAUGGUGCAACUGAUCGCAAGCGCCGUGAAGAUGGCACAGCAGAACAAGAAGAAGUGCUGGGAGCUGGCCGAACGCACGUACACUCUGGCCAACGUACUGCCCUACUACAAAUACCCGGCGGCGAACGACCAGGAGACGGAGACAGUGAUGAGGAGGCUCAAGGAGACCCUCGACGAAGCGUUGGCGCUCAUCCAGUCCUGCCAGACUGUAACUGUAUUCUCCCGUAGCCGGAAGGCCGCCGAAUUAGAUGGGGUUAACAGAAAGAUCAACGACUGCAUCACGGACCUCAAUUUCAUCAGACAAGUUCGCACAAAUCACGUAGCAGCACCUAGCGCAGUCCCAGUCCCUGCUCAAACUUAUGACCACGGCUCCUACUAUCAGCAUCAGGCACAAGGAGGAGGAGGUGCCUCCAGCAGCGCCUGUGUUGGAUACCCCCCGCCUCAGCACGCUCCCGUCAAUGUUCACUGGACUCCGGCUCUGUCUCCCUACCAUGCUUCUCCAGCCCCCUCGGCCUCGGGUUACAAUCUAUCUUCUUUUUACACCCUUCCAACCGUCAACAAGAUCUUUGACAAUGUGUGUAAUGGAUUCCGCUAG